AUUGAACGCUGGCGGCAUGCUUUACACAUGCAAGUCGAACGGCAGCGCGGGCUUCGGCCUGGCGGCGAGUGGCGAACGGGUGAGUAAUACAUCGGAACGUGCCCAGUAGUGGGGGAUAGCUCGGCGAAAGCCGGAUUAAUACCGCAUACGACCUGAGGGUGAAAGCGGGGGAUCUUCGGACCUAGCGCUAUUGGAGCGGCCGAUGGCAGAUUAGCGAGUUGGGGGGGUAAAGGCCUACCAAGGCGACGAUCUGUAGCUGGUCUGAGAGGCCGACCAGCCACACUGGGACUGAGACACGGCCCAGACUCCUACGGGAGGCAGCAGUGGGGAAUUUUGGACAAUGGGCGAAAGCCUGAUCCAGCAAUGCCGCGUGUGUGAUGAAGGCCUUCGGGUUGUAAAGCACUUUUGGCGGGAACGAAAAGGACUGUGCCAAUACCACGGUUCGAUGACGGUACCCGCAGAAUAAGCACCGGCUAACUACGUG
This 484-nucleotide ribosomal RNA is filed under the name uncultured bacterium. Its description in RNAcentral is "partial 16S ribosomal RNA". It matches the Rfam family "Bacterial small subunit ribosomal RNA", at positions 29 to 507 of the family's 1533-position model. The record is from RNAcentral.